CCUACGGGAUGCAGCAGUGAGGAAUAUUGGUCAAUGGGCGCGAGACUGAACCAGCCAAGUAGCGUGAAGGAUGACUGCCCUACGGGUUGUAAACUUCUUUUAUAAAGGAAUAAAGUGAGGCACGUGUGCCUUUUUGUAUGUACUUUAUGAAUAAGGAUCGGCUAACUCCGUGCCAGCAGCCGCGGUAAUACGGAGGAUCCGAGCGUUAUCCGGAUUUAUUGCGUUUAAAGGGAGCGUAGAUGGGUUGUUAAGUCAGUUGUGAAAGUUUGCGGCUCAACCGUAAAAUUGCAAUUGAUACUGGCAGUCUUGAGUACAGUUGAGGUAGGCGGAAUUCGUGGUGUAGCGGUGAAAUGCUUAGAUAUCACGAAGAACUCCGAUUGCGAAGGCAGCUUACUAAACUGCCACUGACAUUGAUGCUCGAAAGUGUGGGUAUCAAACAGGAUUAGAUACCCCUGUAGUC
This 460-nucleotide ribosomal RNA is filed under the name uncultured bacterium. RNAcentral's name for it is "partial 16S ribosomal RNA". It matches the Rfam family "Bacterial small subunit ribosomal RNA", at positions 338 to 795 of the family's 1533-position model. The record is from RNAcentral.